UUGGUGCUACCUCUUUUCUUUUGUUUGUUAUUAUCUUUGAAUAAGAGGAUUGAGAGUUUCUGAAUAUUGUGAAGUGAAUUAUGGAAUGGAAAUGUGAUUGAUAUUAUUUGAGAAGAAGAAAGAUUGAAUGCUGAAAUCUGAUUGUAGUUCAGCAGAGAGAAUGAAUCUGUGUUUGUGUGAAACACCGUAAUGUGAAUGGCAGUUCUGUGUGAAGAAUUCCAAUGAUUGGAACGAGGGUAAUUGUGUACUGAAAGUUGUAAGGGUGCGGUAUUACAGUUGGAGAUUAUGAGGGUGAAUAUAUUGGUGGAAAUAGCAGUUAUUGGUAUGACUGAAUUGUUGUAAGGAAGAGACUGAUAAGGUGAAG
This 364-nucleotide long non-coding RNA is filed under the name Physcomitrium patens. Its description in RNAcentral is "long non-coding RNA (PPAT_LNC013814)". Lineage: Eukaryota; Viridiplantae; Streptophyta; Bryopsida; Funariales; Funariaceae. The record is from RNAcentral.